UGACCGUAACAGAAUCAGCGAUUCAUAACAAGGCUGACCGUAACUGCUUUUAAGAUGACCGUAAUUUGUAAAUGAUGACCGUAACUUUUAAAGGAUGACCCUCAAUACUAAGAAAUAUCCGUAAUUAUAUAACUAUCUUUUUGUAUCAAAUGAUUGCCAAAAGACAUGCAAAUGAACAGGAAGGGAAAACAUGCCACAAAAGCGCGAUAAAAUGACACCUUACAAGCAUAAUAAAAAAAAAUGGGGUGCACAGCCUUCAACUGCUCGACAAAAGAUUUUUGUUUGUUUCUGGGAUUCCUUUUAAUGACAUAUAAUAAAUACACAUUUUUAAAAAUGCCAAAAAAUUGCAUGUACACCCAUUGAUAUUAUAUCGUCUUUCAUUUUGUCGUGCAAAUAAAAUAACAGAAAUAUUUUGAAAAUAUCAUUCGAAUAAACUAGUGAAGGUGAGCUCCAGCAAAGUAGAUCCUUAAAAUAGUAUUGUACGAAAAGUGUAUCACAAGGCGGAACGUUGUCAAUUUGUAUAUAUA
Molecule: long non-coding RNA, 527 nt
Filed under: Mytilus galloprovincialis (Mediterranean mussel)
Lineage: Eukaryota; Metazoa; Mollusca; Bivalvia; Mytilida; Mytilidae
Source: RNAcentral